This 380-nucleotide ribosomal RNA is filed under the name Candidatus Peregrinibacteria bacterium. Its description in RNAcentral is "partial 23S ribosomal RNA". It matches the Rfam family "Bacterial large subunit ribosomal RNA", at positions 2519 to 2912 of the family's 2925-position model. The record is from RNAcentral. Lineage: Bacteria; Candidatus Peregrinibacteriota.
UGGCACCUCGAUGUCGGCUCAUCACAUCCUGGGGCUGGAGCAGGUCCCAAGGGUAUGGCUGUUCGCCAUUUAAAGUGGUACGCGAGCUGGGUUUAGAACGUCGUGAGACAGUUCGGUCCCUAUCUACCGUGGGCGUUGGAGACUUGAGGGAAGCUGUUCUUAGUACGAGAGGACCGGAGUGGACAAACCUCUGGUGUACCAGUUGUCGCGUCAGCGGCAUGGCUGGGUAGCUAUGUUUGGUGUGGAUAACCGCUGAAAGCAUCUAAGCGGGAAGCCCAACCUAAGAAAAUUUUCCCCAUGAACCUCCUUGUAGACUACGAGGUUGAUAGGCCACAGGUAUAAGCGCAGCGAUGCGUGUGCCGAGUGGUACUAAUAGGUCA